CUACGGGUGGCUGCAGUUAGGAAUAUUUUGCAAUGCGCGCAAGCGUGACAAAUUGAGCCAGAGUGAUUUUCAUAUUGAAAAUCUUUUGUGGAAUGUAAAAAGUUUCACGAAUAAGGACUGGGUAAGACUAGUGCCAGCCGCCGCGGUAAUACUAGCGGUCCAAGUCGCAGCCAUUUUUAUUGGGUCUAAAACAUCCGUAGCUUGUUUGAUAAGUUUCUUGUGAAAUCUGAUAUCUCAAAUAUCAGGCGUGCAAGAAGUACUGUCAAGCUAGAGACUGGAAGACGUGAGAAGUACGUUUAAAGUAGCGGUAAAAUGUGUUAAUCUUAAACGGACUUACAAUAGCGAAGGCAUCUCACGAGGACAGUUCUGACAGUAAGGGAUGAAGGCUAGGGGCGCAAAACGGAUUAGAUACCCCUGUAGUC
Molecule: ribosomal RNA, 422 nt
Filed under: uncultured archaeon
Lineage: Archaea
Description: partial 16S ribosomal RNA
Rfam family: Archaeal small subunit ribosomal RNA
Source: RNAcentral